Molecule: ribosomal RNA, 406 nt
Filed under: uncultured bacterium
Lineage: Bacteria
Description: partial 16S ribosomal RNA
Rfam family: Bacterial small subunit ribosomal RNA
Source: RNAcentral
AUUGAACGCUGGCGGCAGGCUUAACACAUGCAAGUCGAACGAGUGGCGGACGGGUGAGUAAUGUCUGGGAAACUGGCUGAUGGAGGGGGAUAACUACUGGAAACGGUAGCUAAUACCGCGUACCAUAAGAGGAGCCCAAAUGGGAUUAGGUAGUUGGUGGGGUAACGGCUCACCAAGGCGACGAUCCCUAGCUGGUCUGAGAGGAUGACCAGCCACACUGGGACUGAGACACGGCCCAGACUCCUACGGGAGGCAUCAGUGGGGAAUAUUGCACAAUGGGGGCAACCCUGAUGCAGCCAUGCCGCGUGUAUGAAGAAGGCCUUCGGGUUGUAAAGUUCUUUCGGUAGCGAGGCGUUACCCGCAGAAGAAGCACCGGCUAACUCCGUGCCAGCAGCCGCGGUAAUAC